GAAUGGGCUUACUCUUUUUGUCGCCCAGUCCCAGGUAGCAAUGAUCAUCAGUAGUGCCCGACAAUGAAUAUUCAGCAAUCAACACAGCACAUAUAACAACGAGAAGAAAUACUAUACCUGAAAAUUUGAACUGAUGCUUGCCUGUUGUUCGAAUAAAUGCUUACUCAAAAGAAAUAAGAUACUUCUUAUUGCU
Molecule: long non-coding RNA, 193 nt
Organism: Rhipicephalus microplus (southern cattle tick)
Lineage: Eukaryota; Metazoa; Arthropoda; Arachnida; Ixodida; Ixodidae
Source: RefSeq, a predicted model, not a curated record